CCUACGGGAGGCAGCAGUCGAGAAUCAUUCACAAUGGGGGAAACCCUGAUGGUGCGACGCCGCGUGGGGGAAUGAAGGUCUUCGGAUUGUAAACCCCUUUCAUGUGGGAGCAAAUUAAAAAGAUAGUACCACAAGAGGAAGAGACGGCUAACUCUGUGCCAGCAGCCGCGGUAAUACAGAGGUCUCAAGCGUUGUUCGGAAUCACUGGGCGUAAAGCGUUCGUAGGCUGUUUCGUAAGUCGUGUGUGAAAGGCCCGGGCUCAACCCGCGGACGGCACAUGAUACUGCGAGACUAGAGUAAUGGAGGGGGAAGCGGAAUUCUCGGUGUAGCAGUGAAAUGCGUAGAUAUGGAGAGGAACACUCGUGGCGAAGGCGGGUUCCUGGACAUUAACUGACGCUGAGGCACGAAGGCCAGGGGAGCGAAAGGGAUUAGAUACCCCAGUAGUC
RNAcentral lists this ribosomal RNA (446 nucleotides) under uncultured bacterium. RNAcentral describes it as "partial 16S ribosomal RNA". It matches the Rfam family "Bacterial small subunit ribosomal RNA", at positions 338 to 795 of the family's 1533-position model. The record is from RNAcentral.